AACGUAGGACGCAAGCGUUAUCCGGAGUUACUGGGCGUAAAGCGCGGGCAGGCGGCUCGAAACGUCUGAUGUGAAAUCUCCUCGAUCAACGGGGAGAGGCCAUUGGAAACGGUCGAGCUGGAGGGCAGUAGAGGUAGGCGGAAUUCCGGGUGGAGUGGUGAAAUGCGUAGAGAUCCGGAGGAACACCAGAGGCGAAGGCGGCCUACUGGGCUGCACCUGACGCUGAGCCGCGAAAGCCAGGGGAGCGAACGGG
RNAcentral lists this ribosomal RNA (253 nucleotides) under uncultured bacterium. RNAcentral describes it as "partial 16S ribosomal RNA". It matches the Rfam family "Bacterial small subunit ribosomal RNA", at positions 524 to 776 of the family's 1533-position model. The record is from RNAcentral.